This 22813-nucleotide long non-coding RNA is filed under the name Ananas comosus (pineapple). Its description in RNAcentral is "long non-coding RNA (ACOM_LNC007440)". Lineage: Eukaryota; Viridiplantae; Streptophyta; Magnoliopsida; Poales; Bromeliaceae. The record is from RNAcentral.
CUAUUUCAAAAGCACAAAUAUGCUGAUAAAAAGGACGCACACAUCACGCUUCAGUGCUGUGCUCGCGAGUUUUGAUCAGAUUCCACUCAUUCGAACGUUAGGUCUAUUAUUAGGCCUAUUGCCGUUAGGUCUAUUUUGGAUCGCAGCCCUACUUAACUUAUUACUCUCGUAUAUCUAUUAUUAUGAGGCAGAAAGUUGAACCUAUUUUAGCCAAUAGUAAACAGCCAACCAAAUGUACAGAACUUAUCUAACCUAUGGUUCAUUUUGAAAAAUCGAUUUUUAAAUCUUUCAAAAUUUUGAUUUUACUAUCCAAUAUUUUCAAUAUGUUUGAUUUGAUUCAGUCAACGACACUUUGACUUUAAAAUUUAAGCUAACAUUUUACUUUGAUAAAUUUAUAAUUGCAAGCAUUAUAAAAGAAAAAUACUGACUAAAUUUGUAAAGAUAAUCGACACAAUAAAAAUUUAAAAUUAAACUACUGUUGACACACUCAAAUGAAACAAAUAAAAAAAUUAAAUAUUUAAAAUAUUGGAUAGUAAAUUUACAAUGAUUCGUAGUUAAUGUAAAUUUUACACAUUUUUACCUUCUUAUUAUUACCACCAACCAAACCUGUGUCCUACCACAACCACCUAUAUAAAUGUCAUAUAAAAAUUAAUCGAUAUAAGGUAAUAUAAUAUCUAAUAUUUGAAAUUCAUUUUUUUAAAUAACUAAGUUUAAAAAAUUUGUCUAUAUAAAUGAAAUUUAAUCAUAUUCACUUAAUUACUAUGUAGUUCCUUGUAAUUAAAUCGACUCGCUCCAACACUCCAACCUAUGUGCUUACUUUUCAAUAUAUAGUUAACUCUUUUGAAUGCAUUUAAUUGUUAUGUGGCAUUUUUAUAACUUCCAUUUGAAUCUACCAUUUGCUUAAAAAAAAAUUAAAAAUGUAUAAAACUUACCAGUAGUAUAGAUCAUUUUGAUUCGUCUAUUCAAUCUAUCAAAAUUUUGAUUUUAGUAUCCAAUUAUUAAGUUGUUUGAUUUAAAUAAUUUAAUAGCUCUUCGGAUAUAAAAUUUAUGUUAAUUAUUACUUUAAUGAAUUAAUAGUUACGUAAAUUGUAUAAAAUAUAUUGACUAAAUCUAUAAUGAUAACCAUGCAUUCAAAUUCUGAAAUUAAAAAAUCACUAAUUGAUUCAUAUCAACUAAAUUAGAAGGUCAAAUAAUAAAAUCAAAAAUUUUAAAUUAGGUACACAAACUUAAAUGGAUGAUAGUUAAAAAUAACCAAAUGUGUUAAACCACAUUAUUUAGAAAAUUAGCAUUUAGAAAAUAACCAAAUUGAUUCAUAACCAAAUGGAUGAUAGCUCGUCUAUUUCUAUAUGGUUCAUCUUCCUCCUCGCCUUUUUGAAUUUUUUACCCUCAAUUUGUUUUUUCUUAUUUUUUUCCUUUCUGACCCUUAUCAGCUCCUCCACCACCUCUGCUGUCGUUGGCGACAGUAAAGAGUCCGCCUUCUCUCCUCCGCCUCCACCUCCCUCGACGUCGGAGAAAGAGGAAGCGGAGCAGGCACGGGUGAUGACGGAGCAAACGAAGGCGAUGGAAUCAUGACCGAGGGAGCGCUCGCCAUAGCCCAUGAAGUUGAGGACGAAGACGUGUCCAAACUUGUCCAAGGACCGAAAAGAAGAUAUAGAGAAUAGAAAAAAAAAAUAAAAUAAUAAAAUAAUAAAAUUUUUAAAAAAUCAUUAUAUCAUUGUUGUUACAGGAAAAGGCUAAAAAUAAAAAAGAAAGAAGAAAAAGAAGAUGAAUUUCCACUGUUGAUAUAAAAUUCCAUUGUUUUAAAAAAAAAUUAUACUGUUUGAAAAAAAUGUUACACUCUUUAAGACGAAAAUUAUACUAUUUAAAAUGAAAGUUGCACUUUUUGAACCAAAAUUGCACUCUUUAAGAAAAAGUGACACUGUUUGCUCUAAUAAAGCAAACUAAGAUUUAACAAUGGUGUGAUAUUACCUAUAGCGUCUCAAUAUUAUUUGGAGCCUUAGAAGUCUUCGACUGCCGGUGGUUGCGAAAGGAAAUUCAACUCGUCGAAGAGAUCGACGAGGCGGCGGAGCCCGGACGAGGGAGCGCUGUCGAGCACCCAGAGAAGCACCUCAGUUUUUGUUUUCCCCCUCACACUCCCGCAAGAGCCACCGCCGCCCUCCGCCUCCGCCGACCGCCGCCACUGCCACCUUGAACGUGUCCUUGAUCGAGCAGGUUGGGGCCCCGUGGGGGCGAGCACAUCAUUAUUGUGAUAUCCCUGAAGUACAGCAGUUGAGGCCUGUCGACACGACGGAAGAGUGUCGGGACAAGUCCGAGUCGCGUUGGCGCGGAAUAGAUGCAAAACGGACUCAGUGCGACGCGAGAGCAAGAGGUUAGCCUGAAAACCUACAAAUGUAGAAUUUUCUGCUUGCUGUACCUAUACAACAUCAGAGGUGUACCGGUACACUGCGGAUGUUUCCGCGCAGCUGCUCUCGGGUUGCCAUUUGUACCGGUACAACCGCACGUGAACCGGUACACCAGGGUAGGUGAGGGGCUUUUUGGGGAUUUUCUCACCUCGUUGUUGUCACCCUCUCCCCCACUUCUUCAUAUACGUGUAGAGAGGCUGAGAGGUCUUCAUGCAACCUUCUUCUCUCUCUCUGUAGGUUGAAGCCGUUCGUGGUAGAGCUUGCCGAGGGAGUUCGGAUCGACGCUGACGUCACACUGGGGAGUCGUUCGAGCACACGAGCAUCGUAGUUGCUGCGUUGGGAGGCCGAGCGAGCGUGUGAUUCCGCUAUUUCGACUUCGCGCCGGAUUUGGAAUAGCUUUCGAGGUAGGUUAAUCGUCGGUUACCUUCUAACUGUAUAUGUAGUUGACAUGUAUUCAUUGUGUUGUUUUGCAUAUGAAAAUUGCUCGAUUCAUGGAUUUAGUAUAUUUAUCUACAAAAUCUGAAUUGGAGCCUAGUACUGGACUAUAUAUACUUGCACAUGUUAGACUUGGAUAUGACUUAGGAAAAAACCCGCAAUUCUACCUUAUCACACGCUUAAACUACCUGAUUUAGCUCUAGGAGCCGUGGUUUGUUUGUAUCACCGCAAUAUCCGAGCGGUGGAUACUCAAGGUAGUUUAGAAUGUAUUUACGCUCGUGCUGAGGUACCGAGUGUAUUUUUACAGCAGUGUUUAGGCUAUUCCGGAUUGUCGGGUACCGUUGGGGUUGACGGUGGACCCAGAUUGCUGUUGUUGCAUCAGAUUGUGCCGAGGGCACGUGAGUUUAAUUGUUAGACGCUGUUUACUUGACUAUAGCCUGUGAGAGCCUGAUUGAGCUCGACAGAGACACGCUUGCAUACUCGGUUGGGUAGCGCCCACGAGUGCCACUCCGGAGUUCGGCUUUGUGCUGUUGCGUUGGUGUCGUUUGGUUCUGGUUGGACUCGCUCUCCACUGACGACCUGGUUUGGUGUCAGAUUGUGUAGCUUCGACAGGCGGGACGGGUGUGUUCACAGUCCCUAGUGAGAUUGGGUCAGGCUUUACUAUUUCCUACAGAGUGUUGGUGUUCGACUGAGAUAGUAUAGAUGCAUAUAGUUGUAGAUUUGUUCCAGCUUUCUUACUAUAUUUGUUUACUUCUGUAGACUUGGUGGGUAAACCGAUGAUUUUGAGGGCGGUACCCACUAAGGACUAUUUGUUUUUACAGUAGUUCUCACGUCCAGUUGUUACCCCACUUUUGCAGAGCCUUCUGUUCCGGCUGCUGCAUCUUCCGAGACCGAUCGUAGCAAGGGCGUUGCGAGCUAGAGCCCUUCCGGACGAGUCACAGAGCUAGAGGAUCACCAACUACAGGUAAUUAUAGUUUUUGAGUUCAUAUACAUAUUUUUGUUGUAUCUCGCUGGGUGAGCCUUUUGUACAAUGGAAUUGGAUGUAUGUAUAGUGAACUUUUAUUUUUAUACUCCUGUUCCUUUUUCUUAGCAGCUCUAUACUACUGGUUGUAGUGUUGUUGAUUACAGGAUCAGUUACAGCUUCACUUCGUAUACAGAAAAAAUUCCUAUGUAUACGGCGGAUUUGUCGGCGCGUCCGGAAAAACGAGUAAUCCAGAGCGUGACAAUUGUUAAAUGUUAAUUUGCAUUAUAAAAACAAAGAGUGUAACUUUCUUCCAAAAAAUACAACUUUCGUCUUAAAGUGUUUAAUUUUCGUCUCAAAGAAUGCAUCAUUCUUCUCAAACAAUGCAAUUUUUUUUUUUUGAAAUAAUGCAACUUUAAUUAACAGUGCAACUUCAUCUUUUCUUCUUAUUUCUUCUUUGCUUCUUGACUUUUCCUAUAACAACGAUGAUACAUAAUGGUCUUUAAAGAAUCGACGAUCCAUGCUGUUAUAUAUAAUUUAGAAUAUUUAGAACUCUUAGAAAAUAAAUUUUGUAUUUUUUUAAAAAUAUAUUGAAGUCCAUCAAGCGAGUAUAAAAUGAAUGGCUAAAAUUGAACGACCUCUUAAAAAUAGAGACUCGAAUUCUUUAAUUUAAUAGCGGAGUUAUAAAUCUCUAUUUAGAUAGUAAAUAGAAUUUUCUAUCAAAAAUUCAAUCGAUUCCGAAUCUUCAACCACUAGUUGAACCAAUGAUGCCAACAUGAUGUUAUAAAUAUUUAUUAAUUUAUAAUUUUUAUUAUAUAGAAAUAUAUUACAAUUACAAUUAGUUUUUAUUAUUAUUAUCAUACUUAAUUAUGAAAUACAAAUUUUUGGACCAAAUUAAGUAGGCAUGCAUUUUAAAAUUUUAUUUUUCAUAAUUAAAAAUGAAAUUAGUGAAAAUCAACCAUAAAUAAAAUUAAAAAUUACACUAAUAAACAAAAAAUCAAAAAUCAAACAAAUCUAGCUGGUUUGUUCAUAACCGCACCAGUUCACAGUUUCGCUGGUUGAAUCGCUAAAUCGCGCUGUUCAAAGCAUGUUAUUGGCCUAUCCAGUUUAAAGGGGCAAACCGAACCAUUUUAUUAACUAGGUCAUGUUCUAUCCAAGUUUUAAAAUAUUGGUGACUGCAAGAUUUAAACAGCAGCAAAUUUUUUUUUUUUUUGAGAAAUAGGUAGCACGCUAUCUGCUUCGUUUAUUUUAUUUAGAAAUAAAUUUAACUGGAAAUGUGAAUCAACUAGAAAUCGAACUUGGGGCCUUGAGUACCAACUACCAACCACCAAGCUCUUUGCCACUUGCGCUAGGGACGGUCGGUCAGCAGCAAAAAUUUUAAACGAGAGUAAGUGACAUAAGAGUCAAAAUCCAAGGGGGUAUUGUGUAAUUUAGCCUCAACUUUUCCUAUUGAAGGAAGUCACACACACACACACACACACACACACAAAAGGACAGUAGUUGUUUGUUGGUGGAUGAUGGUGUGUGUGUGGUGGGAGCUUGGGCUUGGGACAAGUGCAAACCACUCCACCUCUUUAAACCAAAAAGAAAAAAAGAAGAAAAUGUUGCUUUGGUUGUGAAAGGAUAGGUUGGAGGAAAAUAUUCUAGGACCUUGAAAGAAUUUUCUAUAAACUACUAAUGCAGUAAUUAAUUAUAAAUUUAUAUGAUAAUAAUUAUUAUUAUCUAGAAUAGUUGAUUGUUAUUUUGAAAGUUAAUCGAGGAGUAAGAUUUUUGAAUCUCUGCUUGCUUAUUUCAGAAAAAAAAAAAAAAGUUUUAUGGUUUGAGUCGGCUGCUUCUUGAGUUAUAUAUACUAUUAAUUCUUAUGUAAAUAAGGCCGAUCUAAGUGAAAGAGAAGUAUCCUACUUUCUGUCCUACUUUCUUAACGGUCACGAUAGAUUCUGAGCAUGUAAACAAGGCCGAUCUAAGUGAAAGAGAAGUAUCUUACUUUCUUAGUGGUCAUGAUAGAUUCUGAGUGGAUUGGUUUUUAUUCUAUUCUUCGCCCCUCUCCCCCCCCACAACCACUACUUACCGCUAUAUUCGGAACAAAUUGGGUGGAAGCAUAUUUUUAACAAAUUGAAACAGAUUAAAGAAAGAAAGAGGCCUUCUGCCUCCAGCUCCAUUUUCUGAUUCUUCACAAUAGAUUUUUUUUCUUCUUCUUAAUUAUUUAUGGCCCCUACGUACUGUCUCAUUUAUGAUGGACUAGGUAGAAGCUUCAUCAACCCGAAUCCAUUUGCAUGCGUAUUCUUAGAAUAGAUAGCGUACGACAUUAAAAGCUCAUAAGAAUUGCAUUUGAAAAUUGAAUAUAUACCUAUGCUGAGUUGCACAAAAGGGCUCCUGAUCAUUCUAGAAAUUACAUUUCAGUCCUUAAUAUACAAAAGUUGCAUCUAGAUUUUUUUUUUUUUUCAAUCUCAUUGCAACUUUAGAUUUUCUUAAUAAAAUUUUGAAUUAAUCUAAUAAAACUCUCCACAUUAUUUUUUUUUUAAAGAUAGGUAGCACGCUACUCGCUUCGUUUAUUUCAUUUAGAAAUAAACUUAACUGGAAAUAUCAUAGUUCAAAAGCCAUGUAAGUAAUAAUUAAAUGAUGAGAAUGUAAUUCAAACUUUUGAAUAAUAUGAAAAACAUUAGAACAAUCUACUAAUAUAUUAGAUAUUUUUAAAAUUUAAAAGAAUAUAUUAGAUAUUAUUUCUAUUUCUAAUAUUUGGAAUAGUAAUCUCAAUAGGACUACAAAUAUAGCUUUUUUGCGCAUAAUGAGAAAAAGAUUGAGUACUAUUUCAUUCCAUUUUAUGAGUGGUAAAACAUUACAUAGAUUGUAGCCUAAUUGGAAAUUGUUAUAUUUGAAAAUACAUACUUUUAUACUAUAAAAAAAUUGUAAAAUUUUAAAAGUAUUUUAAAUUUUUUUAUAUCUCUAAUAGUAAUAAAUUUAUGAUGGAAAUAAUCACCAAAAAAAGAAGCAGUUGUUAGUUAUAUGCCCAAAAGCCAAUCUGAUGACACUAGCUUAAAGGUAUUUAUAUAUUAAUCAUUUAUAAUUCUGUUGAGCCAAUUAGGCGCGGACAGGAUUGGUGCUGGUGUUCCCUUCAAAAGCAUCUAUUCGGUCGUGCACCGGGAGCACCGGAAAAGUGUAAAGAAAACCAAAUUGUGCCAAUUGAAGGAAGUUACGGUAACCGUAAGCAGUUACAUGCGGUUCCGAUAGGCUGGAGGUGAUCCGGAAUAUGAGGAGAUAAUGGCCGAUCAUGUAAGAGCAAUAACUGAUCAAGAGGGCGAUCUAUAAAUAGGGUAAUAACACCUUAAAAGAGGGUCUUUGCCUCUGCGAACAAAAGACCACCCUUAGUUUCCAGCAUCUUUCUUUCCUGCAUUUACCGUUUUUUCCUAGGAGUAGUUCCUGUAACUUAGCAUCCUGGAGUCUGUCUGCCCUUUGGGCAUCACUCCGCUGUAGGCUAAACCCCUUUUUUCCUGUACUUUCCCCGUUUUACUUCAAUAGAAGGCAGUGUUCGGCUCUUCAGGUCGACCGGUUUUUGUGCUGUAUUAGCCAUUCGGCUCAUUUCUUAGUCGAAAUUCUAUUUUCUCCUGUAUAUUCGGCUCAUCCAGCCGAACCGAAGAGUGAAAAGAGCUUUCGGACCAGGUUGAUUGGAUCCCUUAUCGACCGAAUCGCUUGACAGAUCAAAGGGCGCAAACUUUGAGGGUCACUAUUCGCAGCCGUUCCUCAUCCCGACGCACUUCCCUAGGAGGAUCUUUGACCGGAUCAAGGGUCGGGAAAUUCGGCUUCCAACAAUUUUUGGUACGCCCGGUGGGACGCUAAUAUAAAGUAAAAUUUAUAUUUUUAAUAUAAAGUAUGGCUGAUGAUAAUGCCAUGAAUCUUCGUAAUAGGGCUAUUCUUAGAAAUUCUGGGAGUGAACAGCCCAGUAAUUCAGAGAAUGUUGUAAAGCGCCAAGCAGUCUUACCUACUGAAGGUGAGACCAGUGGUCAAUCAGGCCAACAAGAGCCUAGCCUGGCUCAAGCGCUUGGACAAAUGACUCGGGUCCUGCAAGUUUUGGACCAAAAUAGUCAUGCAAGUACUGCACGGCUGGAUGCCGUAUUGGCCGCAAUCACGGCCUCUAAUGAGAACAUAGCCCGAAUAGGGCAAUUGUUGACUCGGAAUGAUCAGUCAACAUUAGGUUUACAAACACCUAUGAUGGCACCAGUGUUACAAAAUCCUGCAACACUGGUGAAUGGUCAGGCCCAAUACCAGGGAACACCAUAUCAACCGUCUUAUAGACCGGCUGUAGUUAAUGUCGGUUAACAGCCAGAGAUAGCUUGGGGGCUGCCACCACCUCCACCGGUAGCAGCGUACCAGCCCCAAAAUGUAGGGGCUAGGGGGCAGACUCCAAAUACACAAGGGGUUAAUCCUUUUGUGCAAAAUCUCGGUGCGCCACAACCAUCGAACCCAGCACCAGCGCAAGCCCCUUUACAGGGGAUUAAUAACAAGAUUUAUGCGCAAAUAGAAGAAGCCAUCCGGAAUACUUUCGGAGUAGGCGCAAGGCCGGCAAUGCGGCCCGUAUUCAGGUCACCAUACCCUACAAAUAUAGAUGUAGAACACCCAUAUCCGGCUAAUUGGAAGAUGCCGAAGUUUGACAAAUUUUUCGGCGACGAGACCGAAAAUACGGUCGAGCACGUCGCGCGGUUUAUAGCUCAGUGCCGUGAGGCCGCGACAAAUCCGUUUUUAAAGUUGAGGUUAUUUAAUACCUCAUUAACUAAGACGGCUUUCACUUGGUACACAAGUUUACCUGCUAACUCCGUCCGAGACUGGGACGAGUUAGAAGGUAAAUUUCAUGAACAGUUUUAUAGAACUGAGCCAGAACUAUCAGUUGCGGAUCCGGCUCAAUUCAAACAAAGAACAGGAGAAUCAGUUGAUGAAUAUUUGAACCGAUUCAAAACUGCUCGAAGCCAUUGUUUCGUAAGAAUGCCGAAAUUGGAGUUUGCCAAAAUGGCAUUCAACGGCAUGCAUUUUAAAAUUAAAGAUCAUUUUGAAGAUAAAUUCUUUUCAAAUCUUUUUUAUUUAGGAGUUCGAGUUGCUUAAUACGAGCAAUUUUGAAAAGGUAACAAUGAAGAUCGGCCCAGAUGGAGCCGAAACAAAGAUUGGAGCAAAGGAAAGGAGAAAAAUAUCUUUUUCCUUGAAAAGUCUUCGGCUCAUGAAAAGCCAAAUUCAUCUGAAGAUAAUGAGGAUUCGGCUGAUGAAACCGAAAUCUGUGCUGCCAAGAUGGUGAGAAAUAAUCAACCAUACAAAUGUGCUUUGUUAAAACCCGCCAAGUCAAGAGAGGCAAAAGCACAUGUGUCUGCAUUUAAUUAUUCGUUUGAUAUAGCAAAGACCGAUUUGAUUUUUGAUCGGUUGCUAAAGGAUUGACGAAUCAAACUACAGGAAGGUCAAACUAUACCUCCGGUAGAAGAAUUAAAACGCAAAAGAUAUUGUAAGCCGCACCAUUCAUGGAGCCAUAAGACUAGUGUGUGUGCUGCUUUCAAAAGGCAGAUACAAAAAGAGAUAAACGAAGGUCGACUCAUCUUUGCCGACCAAGAAAACAAAAAUAUAAAAAUUGAUAAGAAUCCUUUUCCAUCACAGGUCAACGCCGUGAACAUGAAAGGAAAAGGAAAAGCGACUGCAAAAAGGCAGAUCUAAGAAGAAAUAGACGAGGGUCGGCUCAUAUUAGCCGACCAAGAAAAUGAAAAUAAGGUAAUUAACAGAAAUUCGUUUCCUUUUCAGGCCAAUAUGGUGAAUGUUAAAGGGAAAGAGACUACGGACCAGGUGACAGCAGACAACGUGGCACAUGUCGAAAAACAUCUUCGGCUUUGCAUAAGGUGCAAGGCCGAAAUGAUGAAGAAAGAUUGGGAAGCAAUUGUUAAUGCCAAGAAAAGAGGCAACGAGUGGAAUGAGUUGAUGGCAUUCCCCGAGGAAUGGGAUGACAUUCCUAAUGGUGAAGAUCAAGAAGAAGAAGGCUCAGACGAGGCCUCCAAUGACACUGAACCGGAAGUCAAAUCGGUUCAACGCAAACAAGACAUGUUGAUGCAGAAGAUUCUGCAUGAUUAUUACAAUAACAGGCGUGGCGAGCGUCAAAGCCAAUGGGACUACCAGGGUAGACACUUCGGCACCAAGCCAAGAAUUCCUGGAUAUCGGCUACAUUGGCAGCAUCAAAUGAGGCUGAGACCAGAACCGAAAUUCGAGGGAAUGACCGAGGGAGACAUAGAAUUCCUCGAUCGAAGAUUAGUCAACGAACUCGGCAUUCAGCCUUAAGCCGAGACCUUGGGAGAGAAGAGAAAUUUUGAAAAACCAUUUGAAGACGGUAAAGGUACCGGCGAAUGUGCCAGUGGAUGAGUGGCACGAAGUUGAAAUCAAACCAUCGGCCAGGUGGCAAGGGCUGAUGUUAACAAAAACUCAAAAGCGUCGGCAGUAGAGGAUGCAAGCCGAGGCAAGAUAACAUUACGAAGAAGCGAAAGGAAUGAGGCUCAAUGUAUGGAGGCGUCCUAAUGAGCAGGCACACCCUUUUCGCCUAAUGAAAAACGACCACGAGGCAGGUGGCUCAUCACCUAUCCCUUGGAUAAAGUCGAAAAUAGAACGGCCAAUUGAGGCCGAGUCCGAAGAAAAGAUGACCAGGAGGGAGCUAGAAGAUAAAAUAGCCUCUCUUGAAACGAUUAUUAAGAGAGAGCGAUGGCCUCCAAAGAAAAGAGAGGUCCGCAUGGAGAGUGAGUCUUUAGCCGAAACGGCUAAGGAGUCGGAAGAGAAGAAACAGAGAAUUAAGGGAAAGUCGGCUGACGAGUCACCAGCCGAGGUGAAUAUGGUAUAUACCCUACCUCAAUCUUUCAAGGCAGAACUUGUCGAGUAUGAAAAGUUCAGAGACGAGGAAGAAUACGGGCUUAAAGUAGCCCAGUUGCAAUUGGAAGAUGUUCAGCCGGCCGAUGCAGUGGUUUUCGAGAAACCAUCGGCUAUGCAGACGAGAUUCAUAAGGCCUCUCUUUAUAAAGGCCUUAAUCGAGGGUCGCCCGGUAGGCCGAGUUAUGGUAGAUGGAGGUGCCAUGAUCAAUGUGAUGCCUACUUCUUUUUUCAAGAAGCUAUGCAAAGAUGAUGAUGAGUUGAAGCCCACCGACUCAAUCAUGACCGACUUCACCGGAAACGGUCAACGAGCUCGAGGAGUACUCACCACCGAACUCACGGUAGGCUCCAAAACUUCGAAAACUGCGUUUUUUAUGGUGGAUGCGGAUAGUCAAUACAAUUUAUUACUCGGACGAGAUUGGAUACAUUCGAAUGAGUGUGUACCCUUUACACUCGGAAAACUGUUCCAGUGGGUAGGAGACAAGGUAGAAGAAAUCCAGGCCGAAGGACAUCGGCUACACCAAUUGGGCCGAUGCGGAUCCAGAUCAGAUUUCUUUCGUCAGAGUAACAGAUGAGGGGAUUCAAUUAAUCCUCUCCAAAGAUGUCAAUGAUAUGGUGGUUGAUGAAGAGCCACCAUGGUUGUUAAAAUGGAGUCCGAAAAAUUGAGAAUAGAGGCUUGUAGAGCAUAGGCUUCCUAUCAAAAAAGGGUUUAAGCCUUUUAAACAACCGGCUCGUAGAUUUGAGCCGAGUAUUGUACUUCAAAUUAAAAAUGAAAUAGAAAAUCUUUUGAAGGCCGGAUUUAUUAGAGCGGCCCGUUAUGUUGAUUGGGUGUCUAACAUAGUUCCAGUACGAAAAAAGAAUGGUAAACUUAGAGUUUGCAUUGAUUUCAGGAACUUAAAUUUAGCCACACCAAAAGAUGAGUACCCCAUGCCAAUAGCCGAUAUGUUAGUAGAUUUGGCUUCCGGUAACGAGGUCCUGUCCUUUAUGGACAGACAUGCUGGGUAUAAUCAAAUUUAUAUUGUUGAGGGUGAUGUAGCUAAAACGGCUUUCAGAUGCCCUAGUUCCAUUGGAACUUUUGAAUGGGUUGUCAUGCCGUUCUGUUUAAAGAAUGCCGGAGCUACUUAUCAGAGGACAAUGAAUUUUAUUUUUCAUGAUUUAAUCAGCAAGAUGUUGGAAGUAUAUAUUGAUGAUAUAGUCGUGAAAUCCAAGUCACAAGCCGAGCACUAGAUUAACUUAAAACUCGCAUUUGAAAGAAUGAGAAAAUAUAAUUUGAAAAUGAACCCUUUGAAAUGUGCUUUCGCAGUUUCAGCAGGAAACUUUCUAGAAUUUUUAGUGCAUAAAAAAUGGAUCGAAAUUGAUAAAAAUAAGGCGAAAGCGAUAUUAGAAUUACCGCCACCAAAGUGCAAAAAGGAGCUGCAAAGCCUGUUAGGGAAGAUCAAUUAUCUUCGGCGGUUUAUAUCCAACUUGGCCGAAAGAAUAGGGGCGUUUACCCCACUACUUCGGCUAAAAGAUAAAGAAGAAUUUGUUUGGACAGAGGAACAGCAAGGGGUAUUUAAAAAUAUAAAAAGAUAUUUAUCAAACCCUCUGGUAUUGGUGCCUCCAAAGUCAAAUCGGCCGAUGAAAUUGUAUAUUUCGGCUGCGGAGGAAAAUCUUGGGUGUUUAUUAGCCCAAGAAAACGAAGAGAAAGAAGAACAAGUCAUUUAUUAUUUGAGUCGACGUCUUUUAGAUAUCGAGAAACGGUAUUCGGCUAUUGAAAAAUUAUGUUUGGCUUUAUACUAUUCAUGCACAAAGUUAAGAUACUAUAUUUUACCAACUGAGGUAUUGGUAAUAUGCAAAACCGAACUGGUAAAGUAUAUGUUUGCCAAACUUAUAUUAAGGGGUCGACUUGAAAAAUGGAUGUUGGUUUUGUCUGAAUUCUCCCUUCAUUAUAUUCCAGCUAAAACUGUUAAAGGACAAGCGAUAGCUUACUUUUUGGCUGAUCAUCCGCGUGUGGAAAUUGAAGAACCGAAGCAAAAUUUAGUCGGUUGUCAACCUUGGACACUUUAUUUUGACGGCUCAAGAACAGCCGAAUCAGUAGGAGCUGGAAUAGUUAUCCAAUCUCUUGAAGGGUAUUCAUACCAAUUUGCUUUCGAGCUAAAUUUCGGCUGCUCUAACAAUCAAGCCGAAUAUGAGGCCUUAAUAAUUGGCCUAAAAAUUUUACAAGAAUUGAAAGCAAAGUCAAUCAAAGUCAUCGGUAACUCACAACUAGUAAUCAAACAAGUGAAUGGACAAUACCGAUGUGAAAAUCAGAAUUUACAAAAUUAUUUAAGGAAGACAUUAGAGUUACUAUGUGAAUUCAGAGAAACUGAAUUCGAACAUUUGAGCAAACAGAAAAAUGAAAAGGCAAAUGAACUAGCUCAGUCGGCUUCAAGAUAUAGAGAGCUGAAGUCAGAGUCAAUAGUAAUAUAGAGGAGGUUGCUACCUUCGGUUUAUGUACGAGAACCGAUUAUAGCUCCCAUAGAAGUGAAGGAAGAUUGGAGAGAAUUAUUAAUCAAAUAUCUGGAGAAUCCUAAUACAAGGGUCGACUAUAAUAUUCGAAGAAGAGCUCUCGGCUAUUGUUUGUUAGAUGGUCAACUUUACAAGAGAACAGCCGAAGAAGUUCUAUUAAAGUGUUUAGGACCUGAAGAAGCUCUGUUGAUAAUGGGAGAAACACAUGAAGGAAUAUGUGGAACCCACUUAGCAGGAAAAAAGUUAAGAUGGACAAUUCGGCACUUAGGAUAUUAUUGGCCAAUAAAGCAUCAAGAUUGUAUAGAAUAUGCCAAAGGUUGUCAGGAUUGUUAAUUUCAUGGCUCAAUCCAGAGAGUUCCGGCCUCUGAGAUGUAUGCAAUCAUCAAACCAUGGCCUUUUCGAGGUUGGGCCAUGGAUUUAAUUAGAGAAAUUCAGCCGAACUCCUCGGCUGGUUACAAAUUUUUAAUAGUGGCUGUCGAUUAUUUCACCAAGUGGGUGGAAGCAAAACCCACUCGGUUGGUUACUCAAAAAGAAAUUAUUGAUUUUGUUGAAGAUCAUAUAAUUCAUCGCUUUGGGAUUUCCGAGACAAUUACGACCGAUCAAGGGACAAUGUUCACAGGAGGACAGUUCGUUCGGUUCAUCGAGUCUCAAAAGAUAAAGUUACUACAUUCGUCUCCUUAUUAUGCCCAAGCGAAUUGACAAGUAGAAGCAGCGAAUAAAAUAGUCAUCAAUCUUAUGAAAUGACAUAUCGGAAAGCAUCCGAGAAAAUGGAAUGAAAAACUUUCCGAAGUAAUGGGCAUGCCGAACUUCAGUGAAAACGGCAAUAGGGAUGACACCAUUCCAAUUAGUUUACAGACAUGAGGUCGUAAUUCCAGCCGAGAUAACAGUUCCUUCUUUGAGAACAGAAAAGCAAAAAGAUUUGUCGGCUGAUGAAUACAGUAAUUUAAUGAAAGACAAAGCAGAGGAAGUAUAUGAUACUCAGUUGAUAGCUUUAGAUAAUAUGCAAGCAUACCAAAGCCGAGUGCGUAGUGCAUACAAUAAGAGAGUUCGAUCAAAGACAUUUGUCGUCGGUGAUUUAGUACUUCGGCUGGUUUUUCCAAUCGGUCAAAAAGACCGAACGUAUGAAAAAUGGUCUCCAAAUUGGGAAGGGCCAUUUCAAGUUAGCCGAAUCACAAAAGAAAAUACAUAUUACUUGCAGAACAGAGAUGGUUUAGAAAAUAAAAAACCUAUUAAUGGAAAGUAUUUGAGGAAAUAUUACCCAUCCAUGUGGGAGAAAAACCAAGAUUAAAGUUAGAAUAUUACAAGCCGAAUCAAGUUAAUAAAUCUUUGAGUUGGUUCCAUUCGGCUAUAAGGUUGGCUUGAGCAACUUCGGCAGCUUUUCUUCGGCGCUUCAUCAAGGGAUGCAUCUUGUAGAGUUGAGAAAGCUCUUCCUGAAUUUUCAUCCCUUCUGCUCUUUUAGUCUUUAAUUGGUUCUGCAAUUGAAGUCGGCGCUCAGAGGUUUGGGCUAAAGUUGAUUUGGCUGCUGCUAACUCUUCUUUGAGGGUUAGAAUGCGCUGCCGUAAAACCGAUUCCUGGUUUGCCAGAGAUUGAUCUUCGCGGUUCACUUCAGCAAUUGGAGCCGCCACUUCAGGGAUAUUCCUCUUAAAGUGAUCAACGUGAUGAAAAUAUUGAUCUAAAGAUAAAAGUUCGGCACCCAAAGAUCGUUGCCGAGUUAAAAAAGAAGAAAGUUGAGAUGAAAGAGUCUCUACAAAACAUUUAAUACUAGAAGUAAUAUCUACUUGAUCGGCCAAAUCGAGUAAAAGAGCAUAUAGCCGAUCAAAUUGUUCUGGAUUCUGAGCUAAGUUAGGGAUACCAUUGCUAUAUAUCUUAAGACACUCGUCAAAUUUGCUUUGAGUGUUUGAAGAUACGACAAUGGUUGAAGAAUCAUCUCCCUCAUUAGAAUUGGGGCUCGAGACCAGUAAAGAAAGGAGACUAGCAGAUAGAGGAUCAUCAGAAAUAGUAGGGGAAGCUCCCUCGGUUGAAUGAGGAGGUAUGGUGCUUGUAUCUCCAGAACUCUGCCCAAGAGACUUUUUCUUUUUCUUUAUCUCUUGUUUCUUCUCAAGACGGGCCUCCCUGCGCAGUUGUCUUUCCAUCUGCGUCUUUGAAGAAUGAGCAAAAGGGGCUCGCUCAGGAGAGGACUGUGGUUUAAAAGAAAACGAUAAAUAAAUAAUAAAUAUUUUCUUUUACAGACAACUAACUUGGCUUACCCCGAUAUCAAUCGAUUCGGUCGGAACAGGGCCUUGUUCAGUAGCCGAGAAGGGUACAGCAGUUUCCUCUAAUGGGAUAUCAGCCGAAGUUAUGUCCUCGGUUACUGUUUCUGGAAUUGAAGCCGAGGGAAUAUCCUCGGCUCUGUCUUCGAUAGUGUCAGCCGAAGGGGUACCUUCGGUUUGUCGAAAUUGCCUUUUGGCAAUUGAUUUGCGCCGCUUUGAAGACAGCGGAGGUGUGGAUUGUACAGUCUCAAUCGGUCUUUUAUCUGAAGCCAGGACCGAUGAAGAAUCUGGAAUUGACUGUAAGAUAGAAAUGAAAUAUAUAUGUAUCUCGAAAAUCUAAAAGCAAGGACAAGGAAAAAGAAAGAGGUGAAGUAUCAGAAACCUCUUCUGGUUCUUCUUUUGGUAUAAGGGGAUCAAUAGAGACAGGUGCUGCUGUAUCUGAAAAUAAAAGAAUAAAAAUUGAGUUUAUAAAGGCUAAAAAUGGAAGAAGGGUGAACAUGAGCAAAGAGACGUACCAAGAGGAAGAAUGGUUUGGCAAAAUGCGUGGACAGUGGACCGAUUAAAAAUACGAUCGGUAAAAUGAUCCCAAGUGACAAUAAAACGAAAACCCAACACCCCUGUGUAAUUCGGCCUGAAACUCACUAAUUUGAAGAAUCGCCGAAGACGAUUCCCCAUCGCCGAAAUCCGAUCAGCAUCAGCUAUGCUUUUGGUAGGGGGUCGGUUAAAGGCAGUAUUAGAGGUAAAGAAUUUGGCCGGAGCAGGGAUUGCUUGAGUGAAGCCGAAUUGACGCGCUACAAAUUGAGAAGAGUAAACUUCAUUGCUAGGCAACAAUUUUGAGCACGACUUCAGGCCAAUGUGCAAAUCCCUUGGGGCCAGGAAUGAGUACCAAACGUCUGCAUAUUCACCUGCGCGAGAGGAAGCUAGCUCGUUUUGAAGAGACUCAUAUCUUGCUAAAAACCAAGAUGGGCCGGUGACACGAUCCGCAAAAGGGGACCAAUGAUUAGUAAAAUGAGGGCGAGAUUCAUAAAAUAUUUUAAAAUAAAUUUAGAAGUCGGAAGGAUGGCCGGAUGUCAAUGGCUGAGGGCAGCCAAGAGCCAGCCCAUAAAAAUCAAAAUAAGCAGCCGAAUCUUUAUUGAAAGGAGUUCGGCACAAGUGGGGGAGAUAGAUUUGUAAAAACAUCUGCAAAAACCAAAAGACACCGCAGCCCGAACUAAUGGUUACACCUUCUCCAGAAGGUAGGGCUUUGAUGGAAUCAAAGAUUUCUCUAUAAACAAAAGCGAGAAAAUAAGGUCCAAGAGCUAAUUUAUCGCCGUUAGUCAAACCAACAGUGAUAGGAACGAAAUCGCAAUUGAUCUUCUGUGAACGAGUACAGAAGAGAUUAUGACAUAACCAGUAUAGAAGGAACGCUGUGUGUUCCUUCUUGGUAAUAGGAGCAGAAGAGUCUCCUGCAAAUUUACGGAGAAAUUUGGAAUAAGCCAAAUCAGUGAGGUCAAGGUGGGCCUCAAAAUCGGAUACACCAUCAGGGUUGUAGGCCAUGGAUAGGGCAACACUAUGAGGCUGUAGACCUACGAUAGCGGCUACAUCCAAGAGAGUUGGGGAAAGAGGUCCUGCUUUAAAAAAAAAAAUAUUGGAAACAGGGGACCAGAAACAAAAAAACGGAAGCUAAAAGGAAAGAAUAGACUAUAGGAGGCUUCCGAGAUAACUGAAUAGCUUCGUAGACUCCAAUUUCCUUCCAGAAAUCACCAUAAGUAGCUUCCACGCGAUCCAACCAGGCCAAGUAAGCGUCUGAAACACUGGGCCAGGUUCGAAGAUUUCUUUCUGUUGAAGCUGAAGGAUACCAGGAAUGAAGAUGGACAGAUUUGGCCAUCAAUGGAAGACCUUCAUCAGAAAAAGAAAAAUCAUCAACAGGCGGUUCUUCAGUGAAAGAGGGACCCAAGAUGAAUCUAGAAGGAUCCAUACCGAGAUACGGCUUGAGCAAGGUAUAAUCCAAUGAAGGACGAGUAGGCAAUGGCGGAAGAGGCGCCAUUCUUUGAAACGAAGAAACGAAGGAAGAUGAAGAAGACGACAAAAGAAAGAAAGAGACGAAGAAGAGAUUUCGUUGUAGAAGACGAAAAAAGAGAUAAAAGGGAUAGGAGAGACAAAAAGAAUGAGAAGCUUAGGGAAGAAGAAAAGACCGUCGUAUCGAACUGUCGCAUCGAAGCGAGUUCCGAGGUCAGCUAUAAUGAUGAAUAGACGGCGGUAAUUAAGAUGACCUAGUUAAUGCCGCAGAUUAGACAAAAUAAGGAUUGAGAUCGGGCCGUAAGAUAGAAAAUAAACGGCUAUGAUUGAACCGUACAGAGGGUCACGCCUCGAAUUACGUCGGGUACUGGUACAGAGAUUUUGAAUGUGAUUGGACUGAGAACGACGCCUCGGAUCGCGCUUGUUAUUGAAGCAAAUACAGGAUUUCGGCAGCAGAAAAAGGGACGGCUGAGAUGAAACUAUACUGGGAAGUUGAAAAAUAAUCGUGUCUCAGGUGACGGCAGCUACCGAAGUGUUACUUCGAAAGCUGCCGAUGGGGCAAUUGUUGAGCCAAUUAGGCGCGGACAGGAUCGGUGCUGGUGUUCCCUUCAAAAGCAUCUAUUCGGUCGUGCACCGGCAGCACCGAAAAAGUGUAAAGAAAACCAAAUCGCGCCAAUUGAAGGAAGUUACGGUAACCGCAAGCAGUUACAUACGGUUUCGAUCGGCUGGAGGUGGCCCGAAAUAUGAGGAUAUAAUGGCCGAUCGUGUAAGAGCAAUAACUGAUCAAAGGGGCGAUCUAUAAAUAGGGUAAUAACACCCUAAAAAAGGGUCUUUGCCUCUGCGAACAAAAGACCACCCUUAGUUUCCUGCAUCUUUCUUUCCUGCAUUUACCGUUUUUUCCUAGGAGUAGUUCUUGUAACUUAGCAUCCUGGAGUCUGUCUGCCCUUUGGGCAUCACUCCGCUGUAGGCUAAACCCCUUUUUUCCUGUACUUUUUCCGUUUUACUUCAAUAUAAGGCAGUGUUCGGCUCUUCAGGCCGACCGAUUUUUGUGCUGUAUUAGCCAUUCGGCUCAUUUCUUAGUCGAAAUUCUAUUUUCUCCUGUAUAUUCGGCUCAUCCAGCCGAACCGAAGAGUGAAAAGAGCUUUCAGACCCGGUUUAUUGGAUCCCUGAUCGACCGAAUCGCUUGACAGAUCAAAGGGCGCAAACUUCGAGGGUCACUAUCCGCAGCCAUUCCUCACCCCGACGCGCUUCCCUAGAAGGAUCUUUGACCGGAUCAAGGGUCGGAAAAUUCGGCUUCCAACAAAUUCUUAAUAUGAGAGUAGAUAUUCUAUUCAUGUCAAUUGUAUAGUAGUGCAAUAUUGACGUGAAUCGUCUAGAGGGUUUUUGUUUGAAAAAAUAUAUUCCUAGGAGUUAGGAAUUUGAGAUAUAUAUUUUUCUGACGAGACUCUUUAAAUGCUCUUAGCUAGAGGAAUAUUAUAGGAUGGUGAUAUUCCGGAUAGAGCGGUGUAUGCUAUGUUUCUAAUUGAGAUGACAAAUCUCAAGUCACUAGUGUAGGGACACUAGAACAAGUAUACAUAUGCUUGUUAGAAAAUAAGUACACUGAGUGUGACUAUUUAGUUAAACAGUCACAUGAUUCCAUACUCGCCAGUGACAAGUUUAUUACUAUAGUUGUGUGAAAUACUCCUCAGACCUGAGGCAUCAUGGUUGUUUCACGUAUAGCUUGAUACCAUUUGACAGUAGUAAUACAAAGACUCUAGACACAGGUCUAUUUUCGGUACUGAUUUGCUGUAGAAAUUUAUGCGAGGAGGCAUGUAAAUGCGCAAUAAGAAAUCCAACACUCUCAAUGAUGAGGGAGAACGUACUAUACAAUUUAUCGGACUCGACUGGAAAAAUCCCUAACUAGGAUACAUAAUAUGUGGAAAGAGUUUUCAACUGUGUUGCCAUAUUAAGUUGAUUUCAAAUAUUCUAGUCAUAUAGUUAAAUGAUAAGGAUUGGCAAGUAACCAUGACCUUAUUUCGAUUGAGACAUUGUAUGUUGGAAGGAAUUAAUUAUACGGUAACUAUAAGUGCAGGUUCAUUCUUUAUCAUCAUUCUAGACUGCCGUGAUAUACUGUUAGGUGUCACUCACGGACGGUGAGAGAAUAUGAAUGAUUCAAAUUGAAAUGUUCUUAUUUAUCGAUUAGAAGAGUUCUAAUUAAAUAUCAAAAAAUUUGAUAUUGAGCUCCACUGUUGAAUGGUAAUAAACCUAUGCGGUCAUACACACUAGGAAUUGUAUGCGCCUGAAUCGUUUAGAUGAGAGUCGUUUAUUAAAGAGUUUAGUAUAAGCAAUGAAUAUAAGAGAAAGCUGCUUUAAUUAUCAAAUCAGUUAUUACUGAUAGUUCUAAUUAGAUUAGUAUCUCAGAAUCAGUUUGACAAUUAUGCGCGAGAUUUAAAUUUAUCACUAAUUAGAUUAGUGGAUAAUAUUUAAUCGUAAAGUAUAAAUAUUAAUAAGAUUUAAAUAUUUAGUAAGCAAUCUUAUUGGAUAAGAAGUUAAUUAGGUAAGAUCUAAUUAAAUAUGCAAAGAUUAAUAUUUAUCUCCAAUUGGAUUAGAGAAUAAUUAAAUAUUCAUAAUAUCUUAUAAAAUAAGAUUUUUACUAGAUUUGAUUUAGUUAGAUAAGUAUGAAUAUUUAAUUGCUAAAUUUUAUUGGAGAGAGGGAAAAUCUUAUUAGAUAAGAUUUUUCUAAAUAGAAUUCUACAUAUAUAGAUAUAUGGAUUUAUAUGUAUACAACAACUGAGAUAAAAAAAAAUAAAAAAAUAAAAAAAUAAAAAAAAAGAGCCAUAUGGCACUAUGUUCCGUAUAGAUUGGAGGUUUGCUAAUUAAGGUGCCUUGUACCUUAAUUAAUUGGAUGCAUGUUAGCUUUUGAUCUAUAUACAUAUAGAGAUCAAUCUCUCUCUCGUGCGCAUAUUUCUCUCCAAUCAACUUCUCUACUCUUUAUCAAUUGGUGGAUCAUGAAGGAAUUGCUAGCACCGUCCAGAUGUUCCGUGACUCAUCCGAUUCGUGAGACGAAAAUCGAAUGGGUAUGCGCUGAUUCUAUAUGAAUACGUGUAGAGGCCGGGCACGUGCGCGACUAUACCAGAACUUCAGAGCAAUGAUUAAAACUUAUGCUGUAGUGUCGCUGGUGUUCUGCAGCCCGUGUGCUCCUGCACCUGAGCCUUGUCGACACAUAUGGAGAGUGUCGAGACAAGUCGGAGUCGUUUUAGGCAAAUUGGAUACAAAACGAACUCAGUGCGAUGCGAGAGCAGAGUUUUGACAUUGGAAUUUGCAAAGUGCAAGAUUUUAGUGUUGAGUAUCGGUACCAGGGAGAGGAGUACUGGUACCCUAGUGGAAUUCCAGAACUGAUGCUCUCGGGUUGCGCCAAUCUGAUGCCGAGUACCGGUACGGCAUCGGGCGGGUACCGGUACCCUGUGUGCGAGCUUACGAGUUGAGAGGCCGAGUAUCGAUAACCAAGUUGGCUAUCGGUACUCCAACUGUAAUUUUGAGUAGGUGAGGGGCCUUUUGGUCAUUUGAGGUGUUGUUCAUCCCUAUGUUACCCCGCCUCUAUUUAUACUUGGAGAGCUGCAGAGAAGGAUUUCGUUUUUCUCCUUUUCACUCUCUCUCGAGCUGGUGGACCCGCACGGUUGGGAGGCUGAGACUCGAGCUAGUUCGGGUUUUCAACGUCGAUCCGGAGGGUCGUUCGAGCGUGUGUGCGUAGCGGUUGCACCUUUGGAGGCCAGGCGAGCGCGUGGAUUCCCUUCUUUCGACUUUUCGCCGUAGUUGGACAAGCUUUUCAAAGUGGGUUGAUGUUACCAAAAUCGUCGAACUAUCUCCUAAGUCCUAGCGUCGUUAUCAUGUUCAUUGCUUUGGUUCUAAUUGCUAGUACUCGAAUUCAUGGAAUUUCUAUGUUAUAGCAUAAAAUCUGAAUUUGGAGUUAAGCUAGUAAUUGUAUGCAGGUUAGACUUGGAAAUUGACUUAGGAGAAACCUUUGAACCAUACACUGUCAUUUUUCUGAAAAUUACAAGAUUUAGCUUUAUGAGCUAUAAUUCUUUUGUAUCGCCGCUGUUAGUAUGCGGUGGAUACCCGGAUUAGUGUAGGAUGAGUUUACGCUCGUGCUGGGAGGCCGAGCUCAGUUUACAGUAGUGUAUAGAUAGUUUCGCACUGUCGGGUGCCGUCGUGGUUGGCGGUGGACCCAGAUUGCAUUAGAUUAUGCCAAGGGCACGUGAGAGUUGGUUGUUAGACCAGUUAGACCCUUUUGCAUUGAUUAUAGCCUGUGAGAGCCUGAUUGAGCUCGGUAGAGACACGCUUGCAUACUCAGUUGGGUCGCGCCCACGAAUGCCGCUCCGGAGUCUGUCUACCUUGCUUUGCGUUGAUGUCGUAGUUGUCCGAUUUGGACUUUGCUCUCCACCGGCAGCCCUCGGGGUGGUGUUCGGUGUAGCUUCGACAGGCGAGACGGGUGUAUCACAGUCCCCAAUGAGAUUGGGUCAGAAAUUGCAUUUUUUUCAUUAUAUCUACAGAUAGUCAGUGUUGCUUAGCGAUAGUAUAGUGGCAUUUAGCUGUAGGGUUUCUAGCUUUCCUUACUAUCUUUUGCACAUUUUUCUGUAGACUUAGUGGGUGAGCCGUUGAGGUCGGUGACGGUACCCACUGAGGACUAAUCUAUUUUGCAGUAGUUCUCACACCCAGUUGUUGACCCCUUUUUGCAGAGCCUUCUUCCGCGGCUGCUACUGUCGCCGAUUCAGACCGUGGAAAGAAAGUUGCGAGCUAGAUCCCUACCCGUCUUGUUGCCGUGCUAGAGAAGUACCUUCCCCAGGUAGUUUUGGGCUUUCUUUGUACAUACUGUGAUGUUGUCGAGGUACUCGCUGGAGCGAGUUGUGUUGUAGACAUUUUGUAUAUACAGGAACCCCUCGAGGUUUUUAUAUAUAUGUUUAUUUUCUGUUUAGCAGCUCUUUACCUUGUGAUUGUAGCUUGGUUUUGUUACAAGUACAAUUAUCACUUAUUAUACAGGAAAAAUUCCUAUGUAUACGACGGGUCUGUUGGCGUGCCCAGGGAACUGUAGUAAUAUGGGGCGUGACAUAUGCUACCAACCGUAUAGUAGAUUAAGAGAUCUUAACUUGUCCACGAUAUGAUCUCUAAACAUAAAGAGUUUUCGUUUAGAUUAAAUUUUUGUAUAGUAACAUGAGAAUGAUUCAUCGGUAUUGGAUUGAUUUAUUGGUUUUCGAUUUUUAUAUGUGAUAUGUAUUUGGCUUUCGAAAAAAAAUUAAAAUGAAAAAUUAAUUUUCGCUGCAUUUUUUUUAUGUGCUUGUUAAUUUCUAACAGUAGUAUCAGAGCCGAUUCUCAUGUUUUAUGUAAAAAUAUUAAAUAUCGGUACGGUUCGAUCGAAUUUUUCGAGCUCUUUCU